CGGGCACGGGAGCGAACGGGUCCGUGAGGCUCAGCUCAGUCCGAGGCAGAGCUGUUGGAAUGUUCUGGUGCACUAGCUCUCUUCAUCUUCUGCAUUCCUCUCCUACCUGUGAAAUCCUUCACUGCCACUGAUUUAACAUAUCUCUGCCAUGUCACCCACAUCCCAAGGGAGAACAGCUGUGAGCAGAAUGACUUGCCCAGUUCACCCCA
This is a non-coding RNA of Lonchura striata (white-rumped munia), 209 nucleotides long. The record is from RefSeq and is a predicted model, not a curated record. Lineage: Eukaryota; Metazoa; Chordata; Aves; Passeriformes; Estrildidae.